ACGGAGGAUCCAAGCGUUAUCCGGAAUCAUUGGGUUUAAAGGGUCCGUAGGCGGUCUAAUAAGUCAGUGGUGAAAGCCCAUCGCUCAACGAUGGAACGGCCAUUGAUACUGUUAGACUUGAAUUAUUUGGAAGUAACUAGAAUAUGUAGUGUAGCGGUGAAAUGCUUAGAGAUUACAUGGAAUACCAAUUGCGAAGGCAGGUUACUACAAAUGGAUUGACGCUGAUGGACGAAAGCGUGGGUAGCGAACAGGAUUAGAUACCCUGGUAGUCCACGCCGUAAACGAUGGAUACUAGCUGUUCGGAGCAAUCUGAGUGGCUAAGCGAAAGUGAUAAGUAUCCCACCUGGGGAGUACGUUCGCAAGAAUG
This 367-nucleotide ribosomal RNA is filed under the name uncultured bacterium. Its description in RNAcentral is "bacterial SSU rRNA". It matches the Rfam family "Bacterial small subunit ribosomal RNA", at positions 525 to 896 of the family's 1533-position model. The record is from RNAcentral.